ACUCCUACGGGAGGCUGCAGUGGGGAAUAUUGCGCAAUGGGCGAAAGCCUGACGCAGCAACGCCGCGUGGGGGAUGACGGCCUUCGGGUUGUAAACCCCUUUCAGCAGGGACGAAAAUGACGGUACCUGCAGAAGAAGCCCCGGCCAACUACGUGCCAGCAGCCGCGGUAACACGUAGGGGGCGAGCGUUGUCCGGAUUUAUUGGGCGUAAAGAGCUCGUAGGCAGUUGCGUAAGUCGGAUGUGAAAACUCAGGGCUCAACCCGGAGACUGCAUUCGAUACUGCGCUGACUAGAGUCCGGUAGGGGAGCAUGGAAUUCCUGGUGUAGCGGUGAAAUACGUAGAUAUCGGGAGGAACACCAGUGGCGAAAGCGGCCUGCUGGGGCAGUUCUGACGCUAAGGGACUAAAGCGUGGGGAGCGAACCGGAUUAGAUACCCGGGUAGUCCACGCCCUAAACGAUGAAUGCUAGGUCUUCGGGGUGUUAAUUCCCUGUGGGCCGAAGGUAACCCAUUAAGCAUUUCGCCUGGGGACUACGGCCGCAAGGCUAAAACUCAAAGGAAUUGACGGGUCCCCGCACAAGCAGCGGAGCGUGUGGUUUAAUUCGAUGGUAAGCGAAGAACCUUACCUAGGCUUGACAUGUUUGGUGGUACCGAACCGAAAGGGGAGGGACCCUUCGGGGAGCCUUACACAGGUGUUGCAUGGCCGUCGUCAGCUCGUGCCGUGAGAU
This 726-nucleotide ribosomal RNA is filed under the name uncultured endophytic bacterium. RNAcentral describes it as "bacterial SSU rRNA". It matches the Rfam family "Bacterial small subunit ribosomal RNA", at positions 335 to 1073 of the family's 1533-position model. The record is from RNAcentral.